GCCGGACCCCACUGCUAUCGAGAUGGGACUAAGGUAUGCUAGUCGAACGACCAGAACUAUGUCUGGGAGUGGCACACUGCUCAGUAACACGUAGCUAACCUACCCUUAGGACGUGGAUACCCCCGAGAAAUUGGGGUUAAUCCGCGAUAGAUGUAAUGUCCUGGAAUGGUAUUACGUCUAAAGGUAUUUCAUACAUGUUUGAAAUAUGCCUAAGGAUGGGGCUGCGGCCGAUCAGGCUGUUGGUGAGGUAAUGGCUCACCAAACCUUUGACCGGUACGGGCCAUGAGAGUGGUAGCCCGGAGAUGGACACUGAGACAAGGGUCCAGGCCCUAAGGGGCGCAGCAACCGCGAAACCUCCACAAUGCACUCACGUGCGAUGGGGCUAUCUCGAGUGCCACCUGAUGAAGGUGGCUUUUCCUUGGUCUUCAAAGCCUUGGGAAUAAGAGGGGGGCAAGACUGGUGUCAGCCGCCGCGGUAACACCAGCCCCUCGAGUGGUGGGGAUGAUUAUUUGGCCUAAAGCGUCCGUAGCCGGCCGUGAAAGUCUUCCGUUAAAUCCAGCGUCUCAAGCGUUGGACCGCGGGAGAUAUUACAUGGCUAGAGAGUGGGAGAGGUCAGCGGUAUUCUGGGGGUAGGGGCGAAAUCCUUUGAUCCCCGGAGGACCACCAGUGGCGAAGGCUGCUGACUAGAACACGUCUGACGGUCAGGGACGAAAGCUGGGGUAGCGAACCGGAUUAGAUACCCGGGUAGUCCCAGCCGUAAACGAUGCAUGCUAGGUGUUGGGUUGGCCACGAGCCACCCCAGUGCCGCAGGGAAGCCGUUAAGCAUGCCGCCUGGGAAGUACGAUCGCAAGAUUGAAACUUAAAGGAAUUGGC
This 873-nucleotide ribosomal RNA is filed under the name uncultured archaeon. Its description in RNAcentral is "bacterial SSU rRNA". It matches the Rfam family "Archaeal small subunit ribosomal RNA", at positions 16 to 869 of the family's 1478-position model. The record is from RNAcentral.